UGGGGAAUCUUGCACAAUGGGGGAAACCCUGAUGCAGCGACGCCGCGUGAGCGAUGAAGCCCUUCGGGGUGUAAAGCUCUUUCGGCAGGAACGAUAAUGACGGUACCUGCAGAAGAAGCUGCGGCUAACUACGUGCCAGCAGCCGCGGUAAUACGUAGGCAGCAAGCGUUGUUCGGAGUUACUGGGCGUAAAGAGUAUGUAGGCGGUGUUCUAAGUUUGGUGUGAAAUCUCCCGGCUCAACCGGGAGGGUGCGCCGAAGACUGGGAUGCUUGAGUGUCGGAGAGGAACGCGGAAUUCCUGGUGUAGCGGUGAAAUGCGUAGAUAUCAGGAGGAACACCAGUGGUGUAGACGGCGUUCUGGACGAUUACUGACGCUGAGAUACGAAAGCGUGGGGAGCAAACAG
RNAcentral lists this ribosomal RNA (403 nucleotides) under uncultured bacterium. RNAcentral describes it as "bacterial SSU rRNA". It matches the Rfam family "Bacterial small subunit ribosomal RNA", at positions 355 to 775 of the family's 1533-position model. The record is from RNAcentral.